AGAGUUUGAUCCUGGCUCAGAGUGAACGCUGGCGGCGUGCUUUACACAUGCAAGUCGAACGGGACUUUAUCGGGGGUAACCCUGGUAAAGUUUAGUGGCAGACGGGUGAGUAACACGUGGGAAAUCUACUUAGAAGAGGGGAAUAACCCCGGGAAACCGGAGCUAAUACCCCAUAAGACCACAGGAAGACAUCUUCAAGCGGUCAAAGGUUCGCAAGAAUGCUUUUAAAUGGUCCCGCGUCCUAUCAGCUAGUUGGUGAGGUAACGGCUCACCAAGGCAAUGACGGGUAACCGGCCUAAAAGGGUGAACGGUCACAAUGGAACUGAGACACGGUCCAUACUCCUACGGGAGGCAGCAGUGGGGAAUUUUGGACAAUGGGCGAAAGCCUGAUCCAGCAACGCCGCGUGAAGGAUGAAGGUCUUCGGAUUGUAAACUUCUUUUAGAGGGAAAGAACCCCGUUCUUUAUAUUCAUUUCAAAACACCUAUAUAUAUAGGUGUAAAAGUGGAUAAAAAGAACGGGGGUGACGGUACUCUCAGAAAAAGCCACGGCUAACUACGUGCCAGCAGCCGCGGUAAUACGUAGGUGGCAAGCGUUACUCGGAAUUACUAGGCGUAAAGCGUAUGUAGGCGGUUAGACAAGUCUGUGGUGAAAUCUCCUGGCUCAACUGGGAGCGGUCCACGGAAACUGUUUGGCUUGAGUGUGGGAGGGGAAGAUGGAAUUCCUGGUGUAGCGGUGAAAUGCGUAGAUAUCAGGAGGAACACCGAUGGCGAAAGCGAUUUUCUGGCCCAAUACUGACGCUGAGAUACGAAAGCUAGGGGAGCAAACAGGAUUAGAUACCCUGGUAGUCCUAGCUGUAAACGAUGUUCACUAGAUGUGGGAGGUAUCGACCCCUUCCGCGCCGACGCUAACGCAUUAAGUGAACCGCCUGGGGAGUACGGCCGCAAGGUUGGAACUCAAAGGAAUUGACGGGGGCCCGCACAAGCGGUGGAGCAUGUGGUUUAAUUCGACGCAACGCGAAGAACCUUACCUGGGCUUGAAGUGCAGGUUGUAAAGAUCCGAAAGGUGAAUGACUCGCAAGAGAGCCUGUAGAGGUGCUGCAUGGCUGUCGUCAGCUCGUGUCGUGAGAUGUUGGGUUAAGUCCCGCAACGAGCGCAACCCUUGUCCUAUGUUGCUCAUAGCAAUAUGAGGUCUCUUAGGAUACUGCCGGUGAUAAACCGGAGGAAGGUGGGGAUGACAUCAAGUCAUCAUGGCCUUUAUGUCCAGGGCCACACACGUGCUACAAUGGCCGGUACAGAGGGAAGCCAAGCCGCAAGGUGGAGCAAAUCCCAUAAAAUCGGCCCCAGUUCAGAUUGUGGGCUGCAAUUCGCCCACAUGAAGGUGGAAUCGCUAGUAAUCGCAGAUCAGCAGGCUGCGGUGAAUACGUUCCCGGGCCUUGUACACACCGCCCGUCACACCACGAAAGUCAGUUGUAACAGAAGUCACUGUGUUAACCCGCAAGGGAUGCAGGUGCCCAAGUUGUGAUUGGUAAUUGGGGUGAAGUCGUAACAAGGUA
Molecule: ribosomal RNA, 1553 nt
Filed under: metagenome
Description: bacterial SSU rRNA
Rfam family: Bacterial small subunit ribosomal RNA
Source: RNAcentral